Molecule: ribosomal RNA, 510 nt
Filed under: uncultured bacterium
Lineage: Bacteria
Description: bacterial SSU rRNA
Rfam family: Bacterial small subunit ribosomal RNA
Source: RNAcentral
GAUCAUGGCUCAGGAUGAACGCUAGCGGCAGGCUUAACACAUGCAAGUCGAGGGGCAGCGCGAGGUAGCAAUACUUGGCGGCGACCGGCGGAAGGGUGCGUAACGCGUGAGCAACUUGCCCGUAUCUGGGACAUAACCGGUGGAAACGCCGACUAAUUUCCCAUAACAACAGAGACCACAUGAUCUUUGUUUGAAAGCUUCGGUGGAUACGGAUGGGCUCGCGUGACAUUAGCUAGUUGGAGUGGUAACGGCACACCAAGGCGACGAUGUCUAGGGGUUCUGAGAGGAAGGUCCCCCACACUGGAACUGAGACACGGUCCAGACUCCUACGGGAGGCAGCAGUGAGGAAUAUUGGUCAAUGGGCGGAAGCCUGAACCAGCCGUGCCGCGUGCAGGAAUUAAAGGCCCUAUGGGUCGUAAACUGCUUUUGACGGGGAGCAAUAAGGGCUACGCGUAGCCCGAUGAGAGUACUCGUCGAAUAAGCAUCGGCUAACUCCGUGCCAGCAGCUGC